UAUAUAUAUACACGUUUAAUUUAGCUUGUUACUUUCAAAAUGAUAAUAGAUGAUGAAAAAUCUUUUUUUUAGAAGUGAUUAUGCCGAUGCUAGAUAGAGAAGGGAAUCUGUACGUUUUAUGUAUGUACAUAUUAGCAAAAGAUGAUGGAUUAAUAAAUCGAUACGUACUUGGAGGUGUAUUCAAGGUUUCCACGCGUGCUGCGAGUGCAAGAAAACGUACAGAUCGAGAAUGGCCCUAAAUCGGCACGUGCGAGAGGAGUGCGGUAGAGUUUUGUACACGUGUCCCUUUUGCCACAGCAUCAUGCCAAUGAAGUUCAAUCUGCUCAAUCAUCUGAAGAAGGAACACGGUUGCGUGGCCAAGAUUUGAACGAUAUCCCCGAAAUAAUUUUUCCAUCGAUCUUUCUGCGAAAACUCGUCCAACGAAUCACCCUCGAUCGAUAUUAUCGCGUAAAAAAAAAAGAACUCGAAGACGAGAAUUCGAAAUUCGAUCGUGAUAAUUUUCGAGGGAAAAAUACUGUGUAACGCAGCGAAGAGUCGUUUUUAUGACGACCAAUCAAUAAAGUGUCGACGAAGCAACGAUCCAAUCCGAUAUACCCGUAUUUUCUCUCAAUUCUCUUUUAAUUCUACGAUCGACGAGUAUAUAUAAAUCAUCGAUGUGCUCUUUGUAUCUUUCGUGCGUGUAUCUCUCGUCGUCCGCCAUUAAAUUCGAGAAAGAAGGGAAGAUGGAGAAGGAUUAUCUCAGAAGAGAAGCGAAUAAUUCGUAUUAUCGAUAUUAUCGGUAACAGAUAACAUCGGUGAAAACGAUUGAUUUUACAAUUUCGACUAAUCGUGCGAUUUCUUUUUGCAGGUCGUCUAUAAUUGGAGAUGUUGUAUAUUACAGCUCUUGGAAGAGUCGAAGUAAGAGAGAAACGGGAUGGCGCUCGAAAAUAAAAAAAAAAAAAAGGAAAAGGAAAAAUUAAUUAAACUUUUUAUAACGAAGUUUAUUACACAGGCUUCUCGCCUACAUUAUCUUAACGAUCGGUUAUUAAAGAAAUGUCGUCCAAUUUGAUUCCAUUGUUGAAAUCAUUCAAUCUGCAUCGCGCCUCGACGAUCAUUAUCCUCGAAUUUGGAUAAUUUUUCAUAUCCGUGUAUUAGUUGUAUUCUUCCUCUUAUCAUGGAGAUAAUUUUUUUUCGUUUAAUCGAUUUUUUUUUACCCGGAAAAAUAUUCGUCGAUUCAUUUUAAAAGUUCACAGAAAAUUGAUUUCUACUCGUGUAUCGAUCUCCUUUGUAAUCGCGAUUUCAUCUCUCGAUGAUAUAAUUUUAAAAAAUUUUCCAAGCGAUUUUCAAGAUCGAGGAUCGAAUCAAGAUU
Molecule: long non-coding RNA, 1348 nt
Organism: Apis mellifera (honey bee)
Lineage: Eukaryota; Metazoa; Arthropoda; Insecta; Hymenoptera; Apidae
Exons: 2
Source: RefSeq, a predicted model, not a curated record